AAUCUCCGGUGCCUGCACCGGCGAAUUGUAGUCUGUAGGGCCAGUUUCGCCCGAGACGGUGUCCCCAAAGUCGUCCUGGAAAGGCGGGCCGGAGAGGGUGAGAGCCCCGUGCGUGGGGGCAUCGUCGGAGGUAAGAUCUGUGCCCGAAGAGUCGGGUUGUUUGGGAUUGCAGCCCAAAAUGGGUGGUAAACUCCAUCUAAAGCUAAAUACUGGCACGAGACCGAUAGCGAACAAGUACCGUGAGGGAAAGAUGAAAAGCACUUUGAAAAGAGAGUCAAACAGUACGUGAAACCGUCAGGAGGGAAACGAACGAGGUUGGUGCAGUGAUCACGCAGGUUCAAGCACUGCCGAAGGUGCCGACACGGUGACGAAGAUCGUCCCGUGCCGUCCGCCCGAGGCGGUGCCGUACUCCUCGUGAGCGCGGACCAGCGGCGGUUGGACCGGAGCCACAAGGCGACGGAGGAAGGUGAGUCGACACGGGCCAGUCCUGUGUCGACAGCUUACAGCCCCGUCGUACGGUGCUCAGGCCCGACCGAGGAAAUCGGGCAGCCCUUGCCCACCACGGCACACGCCGAAUGGCGGGGCCUCCCGGUGCGAGUGAACCGUGCGGUGUGGACUGCAUGCAGUGCAAAUCGUGGCGGCGAUCUCGUG
This 651-nucleotide ribosomal RNA is filed under the name Dictyoceratida sp. 6 JV-2020. RNAcentral describes it as "partial large subunit ribosomal RNA". It matches the Rfam family "Eukaryotic large subunit ribosomal RNA", at positions 119 to 489 of the family's 3401-position model. Lineage: Eukaryota; Metazoa; Porifera; Demospongiae; Dictyoceratida. The record is from RNAcentral.